RNAcentral lists this ribosomal RNA (484 nucleotides) under uncultured bacterium. RNAcentral describes it as "partial 16S ribosomal RNA". It matches the Rfam family "Bacterial small subunit ribosomal RNA", at positions 30 to 507 of the family's 1533-position model. The record is from RNAcentral.
AUUGAACGCUGGCGGCAGGCCUAACACAUGCAAGUCGAGCGGAUGAAGGGAGCUUGCUCCUGGAUUCAGCGGCGGACGGGUGAGUAAUGCCUAGGAAUCUGCCUGGUAGUGGGGGAUAACGUCCGGAAACGGGCGCUAAUACCGCAUACGUCCUGAGGGAGAAAGUGGGGGAUCUUCGGACCUCACGCUAUCAGAUGAGCCUAGGUCGGGUUAGCUAGUUGGUGGGGUAAAGGCCUACCAAGGCGACGAUCCGUAACUGGUCUGAGAGGAUGAUCAGUCACACUGGAACUGAGACACGGUCCAGACUCCUACGGGAGGCAGCAGUGGGGAAUAUUGGACAAAGGGCGAAAGCCUGAUCCAGCCAUGCCGCGUGUGUGAAGAAGGUCUUCGGAUUGUAAAGCACUUUAAGUUGGGAGGAAGGGCAGUAAGUUAAUACCUUGCUGUUUUGACGUUACCAACAGAAUAAGCACCGGCUAACUUCGUG